Molecule: ribosomal RNA, 253 nt
Filed under: uncultured bacterium
Lineage: Bacteria
Description: partial 16S ribosomal RNA
Rfam family: Bacterial small subunit ribosomal RNA
Source: RNAcentral
UACAGAGGUCCCAAGCGUUGUUCGGAUUCAUUGGGCGUAAAGGGUGCGUAGGCGGCGCGGUAAGUCGGGUGUGAAAUCUCGGAGCUUAACUCCGAAACUGCAUUCGAUACUGCCGUGCUUGAGGACUGGAGAGGAGACUGGAAUUUACGGUGUAGCGGUGAAAUGCGUAGAUAUCGUAAGGAAGACCAGUGGCGAAGGCGGGUCUCUGGACAGUUCCUGACGCUGAGACGCGAAAGCGUGGGGAGCGAACAGG